RNAcentral lists this ribosomal RNA (803 nucleotides) under uncultured Acidobacterium sp. RNAcentral describes it as "bacterial SSU rRNA". It matches the Rfam family "Bacterial small subunit ribosomal RNA", at positions 56 to 890 of the family's 1533-position model. Lineage: Bacteria; Pseudomonadati; Acidobacteriota; Terriglobia; Terriglobales; Acidobacteriaceae. The record is from RNAcentral.
UGCAAGUCGCACGAGAAAGGGUAGCAAUACCUGAGUACAGUGGCGCACGGGUGAGUAACACGUGAAUCAUCUACCUCCGAGUGGGGAAUAACUGAGAGAAAUCUUAGCUAAUACCGCAUAACACUUACGAGUCAAAGCAGCAAUGCGCUUGGAGAGGAGUUCGCGGCAGAUUAGUUAGUUGGCGGGGUAAUGGCCCACCAAGACGAUGAUCUGUAUCCGGCCUGAGAGGGCGCACGGACACACUGGAACUGAAACACGGUCCAGACUCCUACGGGAGGCAGCAGUGGGGAAUUUUGCGCAAUGGGGGAAACCCUGACGCAGCAACGCCGCGUGGAGGAUGAAAUAUCUUGGUAUGUAAACUCCUUUCGAUGGGGAAGAUAAUGACGGUACCCAUAGAAGAAGCCCCGGCUAACUUCGUGCCAGCAGCCGCGGUAAUACGAGGGGGGCAAGCGUUGUUCGGAAUUAUUGGGCGUAAAGGGUGCGUAGGCGGUUUGACAAGUCUUAUGUGAAAUCUUCGGGCUCAACCCGAAGUCUGCAUGGGAAACUGUCGGGCUUGAGUAUGGGAGAGGUGAGUGGAAUUUCCGGUGUAGCGGUGAAAUGCGUAGAUAUCGGAAGGAACACCUGUGGCGAAAGCGGCUCACUGGACCAUAACUGACGCUGAUGCACGAAAGCUAGGGGAGCAAACAGGAUUAGAUACCCUGGUAGUCCUAGCCCUAAACGAUGAUUGUUUGAUGUGGGGGGUACCCAAUCCUCCCGUGUCGAAGCUAACGCGAUAAACAAUCCGCCUGGGGAGUACGGUCGCA